CCUACGGGAGGCAGCAGUGGGGAAUUUUGGACAAUGGGGGCAACCCUGAUCCAGCCAUGCCGCGUGAGUGAAGAAGGCCUUCGGGUUGUAAAGCUCUUUCGCAAGGGAAGAAAACUUAGAUCCUAAUACGGUCUGAGGAUGACGGUACCUUGAUAAGAAGCACCGGCUAACUACGUGCCAGCAGCCGCGGUAAUACGUAGGGUGCGAGCGUUAAUCGGAAUUACUGGGCGUAAAGCGUGCGCAGGCGGUUUCGUAAGUCAGAUGUGAAAGCCCCGGGCUCAACCUGGGAACUGCGUUUGAAACUGCGAGGCUAGAGUGUGUCAGAGGGGGGUAGAAUUCCACGUGUAGCAGUGAAAUGCGUAGAGAUGUGGAGGAACACCGAUGGCGAAGGCAGCCCCCUGGGAUAACACUGACGCUCAUGCACGAAAGCGUGGGGAGCAAACAGGAUUAGAUACCCUGGUAGUCCACGCCCUAAACGAUGUCUACUAGUUGUUGGUGGAGUGAAAUCCAUUAGUAACGCAGCUAACGCGUGAAGUAGACCGCCUGGGGAGUACGGUCGCAAGAUUAAAACUCAAAUGAAUUGACGG
This 587-nucleotide ribosomal RNA is filed under the name uncultured bacterium. RNAcentral's name for it is "bacterial SSU rRNA". It matches the Rfam family "Bacterial small subunit ribosomal RNA", at positions 338 to 916 of the family's 1533-position model. The record is from RNAcentral.